UAAAAUAGUAAUAUGAGAAAUUGGUCUUCUGUCUAAAAUGUUAUAUUUAUCCAAAAAUAAGAAAACUCUGAGUGUUGUAUCACUUUCUCCCGACCGAAUUAAACGCCCUAAAAAAACAAAAUAUAGAGUAUUCAAAUAUGUGCCCUAAAAACAAUUGGCUUGAUACUAAAAAUUAUUACAAAAAGGCUCAAAUCAUGUAAUCUGCAAUUUAGACCCAGUAAAAUUCGAAAUUAGGCUUUGUGCCAACAUAAAAAUUGUAACUCUGAUUUUUAGCUUUCCAACGCCUUCUUCCAUGCGUCAAUAUGGUACUCAGAGCUCAAGUUAUGGCUUGCACAGCGAUCAAGGAUCAAUAUGAAAAUAAUAACAUUAAAACUCACUUACGAUCCAAAGUUUAGAAACAUGCUAAAAAACUAAUCUAAGUUAUAAAGAGCUUUUAAAAUAUCACAAUACAAAGCUAGAAACAUGUGCCAAAAUGCAUUCAUCAAAUUCCCCUACAUUUAAGCUUUUGCACUCCGAGCAAAGAAAUGCAUGCAAUUCCAAAGAUUAUCAGGAAAUGCAAAGUGGUGAACACAAUUUUAAUCUCAAGUUUCAAAGAAUAUGACAAUCAUGAAUAGCUUUUCAUCACAAUCAAAGUAAACAAGAGGACAAAUUAACUAAAAAAUUCAUCAUAAAUGAUAAAGUCUUCAUAAGAUAUAGAAUUCUUGCAACCGAAGUGUUUAAACUACUAUUUACACUCAAAGCACAUCAUGAAGCUAGCACUACCAUAGGUUGGACAAGUCUUUAACAUCUAUACUUAGAACACAUGCACAUAAUGAUUAAAAGAUCUUUAUUAAGGUUGUAACGGGGCCAAGGUAAGGGUGACAUAAUCCUAAGGAGACUAGGGCUAAAAAUCAAAGAGGAUAAAUGAGUAAUGAUCGGGAGAAAAAAGUGACAUUGAAAGGCAACUCAACCAAAAUACCAAUGAUUUUUAUUCUCACACUCUCUUUGUUCAUAACUAUUUUCCUCAUUUAUUCAUCUUUGUUUUGUUGUUUUGUUGUUUUUUUUAUUUUUUUAUUUUUUAAGUUUUAAUUUUUUUUGUUUGUUUUACUACUACUCAAAUUUAACCGAACAAGUUGAGUUGAGCACCCACACACUUAUUUAAAGAAGAACUCCUUUAUCUCCAAAGAUUGAGUCAAUUAAUUGUUUUCACUUCUUGUAAUGAGCUAUAUAAUAAAGAAUAUAAUAAAUAGGCUCAAAAGGGCUUAAACAACAGAUAAUUACAGGGUAUGCUUA
This 1272-nucleotide long non-coding RNA is filed under the name Cicer arietinum (chickpea). Its description in RNAcentral is "long non-coding RNA (CARI_LNC003717)". The record is from RNAcentral. Lineage: Eukaryota; Viridiplantae; Streptophyta; Magnoliopsida; Fabales; Fabaceae.